RNAcentral lists this ribosomal RNA (255 nucleotides) under uncultured bacterium. RNAcentral describes it as "partial 16S ribosomal RNA". It matches the Rfam family "Bacterial small subunit ribosomal RNA", at positions 524 to 776 of the family's 1533-position model. The record is from RNAcentral.
UACGUAGGGGGCAAGCGUUGUCCGGAAUCAUUGGGCGUAAAGAGCGUGUAGGCGGCCCGAUAAGUCCGCUGUGAAAGUCCAGGGCUCAACCCUGGGAUGCCGGUGGAUACUGUCGGGCUGGAGUGCGGCAGAGGAGACUGGAAUUCCUGGUGUAGCAGUGAAAUGCGUAGAUAUCAGGAGGAACACCGAUGGCGAAGGCAGCUCUCUGGGACGUUACUGACGCUGAGACGCGAAAAGCGUGGGGGAGCAAAUAGG